GAUGAACGCUGGCGGCGUGCCUAAUACAUGCAAGUCGAGCGAACAGACGAGGAGCUUGCUCCUCUGACGUUAGCGGCGGACGGGUGAGUAACACGUGGAUAACCUACCUAUAAGACUGGGAUAACUUCGGGAAACCGGAGCUAAUACCGUAUAAUAUAUUGAACCGCAUUGUUCAAUAGUGAAAGACGGUUUUGCUGUCACUUAUAGAUGGAUCCGCGCCGCAUUAGCUAGUUGGUAAGGUAACGGCUUACCAAGGCAACGAUGCGUAGACGACCUGAGAGAGUGAUCGGCCACACUGGAACUGAGACACGGUCCAGACUCCUACGGGAGGCAGCAGUAGGGAAUGUUACGCAGUGGGCGAAAGCUUGACGGAGCAACGGCGCGUGAGUGAUGAAGGUCUUCGGAUCGUAAAACUCUGUUAUUAGGGAAGAACAAAUGUGUAAGUAACUAUGCACGUCUUGACGGUACCUAAUCAGAAAGCCACGGCUAACUACGUG
This 497-nucleotide ribosomal RNA is filed under the name uncultured bacterium. RNAcentral describes it as "partial 16S ribosomal RNA". It matches the Rfam family "Bacterial small subunit ribosomal RNA", at positions 28 to 507 of the family's 1533-position model. The record is from RNAcentral.